GGAGAAAUGGCAGAGUGGUCGAUUGCGGCAGUCUUGAAAACUGUUGAACCGUGAGGUUCUGGGGUUCGAAUCCUAUUUCUCCGCCA
RNAcentral lists this transfer RNA (86 nucleotides) under Bacteroidota bacterium. Its description in RNAcentral is "Bacteroidetes bacterium (activated sludge metagenome) tRNA-Ser". It matches the Rfam family "tRNA". From Rfam's summary of the family: Transfer RNA (tRNA) molecules are approximately 80 nucleotides in length. The record is from RNAcentral. Lineage: Bacteria; Pseudomonadati; Bacteroidota.